RNAcentral lists this long non-coding RNA (680 nucleotides) under Vigna radiata. RNAcentral describes it as "long non-coding RNA (VRAD_LNC013103)". The record is from RNAcentral. Lineage: Eukaryota; Viridiplantae; Streptophyta; Magnoliopsida; Fabales; Fabaceae.
UACGCCUGUUUUUCAGUUGGUACAUUUUAGCAAUGUGUACCGGGUUUCAGUAGACAAAAAUACCCUUAUAUCAUGAAUUCUAAGUUUUAAGAUUAAGGAUAUUUUAAUAAUUUUCAUUCUCAAAAUUAAAAACAUAAAAAAAGAAACCCCAAAACCCUUACCCACCUCUCUUAUUCCUCUCAACCCUUUCUCUUUCAUCUCUUUCAUUCCAACAUUUUCUCAGUCAUCUCUACUCUAGCCCCAAUUGAAAAAAAUCAGAAACACUUGCCUUAUUUUAAUAACUUUCAUUCUCAAAACUAAAAUAGAAACCUCAAACCCUUACUCACCUCCUUCAUUGCUCUCAACCCUUUCUCCUUCAUCUCUUUCACUCAAACAUUUUAUCUGUCAUCUUUACACUAGCCCCAACUAAAAAAGCACUCAUUAUUAAACAAUUUACUUUUGUAAAGAGUUGAGUCAUUGACAUAUUCACCUUCCGAAAAAAGUUCAUUCAAAAUCUCUUUAAUUUCAUUAUCUUCACUAUAUAUAUUACCGCCGACGGGCACAACUUGCACAAAGACUUAUGAACAUCAUUCUUUUACAUUCUGAUACUACUACGUAACAUUGCUCUGUGGCCAUUUAAUUUUUUUUGGUAGAAAUUCAUUAACUUGUUUUCCUUUACUAAAGAAAAAAUAAAUCAAAAU